Long non-coding RNA from Kogia breviceps (pygmy sperm whale), 790 nucleotides. RefSeq lists it as uncharacterized. The record is from RefSeq and is a predicted model, not a curated record. Lineage: Eukaryota; Metazoa; Chordata; Mammalia; Artiodactyla; Physeteridae.
UCAGUCUCCGCCAGGGAGGGCCACCCUGAGGAGUCUGCGCGGUUUGUACGGCGACAAGUUUCACGUGCUACUUAAUGCUUUGGUUCAAAUAGUUGCUGGGCGUCUGCUCUGGGUGUUGAUUUUGCCUAUUGUUGGGGGUACCUAGUGAGAGAAAACUAUUUUUUUACUGGAGACGUUCACAUAUUAAUGGAGGAGACAGAAUUAUAAUCCCAGAGUAACAGUAUUUAAAAGUACCUGAGGAUACUGGACUCGCCUAAUCCAGACACCUGCAGUAUUAGCUCCAAGCAGAGAAUGGCCUGGGCAAAGGAGGUUAAAAAUGGUGUCUGCCUCAUAAAGUGGUUGUGAGGAUUAAAUGAGGACACUUGUAAAUUGCUUGAUAUGAUGCCAGGACAGAAUAAAUGUUCAAUAAAAAAUGUUUCAGAGAAGUUAAGUACCUUGCUGAAAGAUAAACAACAGGGGCUUCCCUUCUGGUGCAGUCGUUGAGAAUCCACCUGCCAAUGCAGGGGACAAAGGUUCGAGCCCCGGUCCAGGAAGAUCCCACAUGCCGCAGAGCAACUAAGCCUGUGUGCCACAACUACUGACUCUAUGCCCUAGAGCCUGAAAGCCACAAAUACUGAGCCCAAGUGCCACAACUACUGAAGCCCGUGCACCUAGAGCCCGUGCUCUGCAACAAGAGAAGCCAUCACAAUGAGAAGCCCACACACCACAACGAAGAGUAGCCCCUGCUCGCCGCAACUAGAGAAAGCCCUCACGCAGCAACAGACACCCAACACAGCCAAAAAUAAAUGAA